This 271-nucleotide unclassified non-coding RNA is filed under the name uncultured fungus. Its description in RNAcentral is "partial contains 5.8S ribosomal RNA, internal transcribed spacer 2, and large subunit ribosomal RNA". The record is from RNAcentral. Lineage: Eukaryota; Fungi.
AACGCACAUUGCGCCUUAUGGUAAUCCGUGAGGCAUACCUGUUCGAGCGCCGUUUGUGUCUUAAGGCUUUGCCUUGCGUUGAUCUUUCUGUCGUGCAUCAGCAUGACAAGAUCGAAACACAUUGGCGCCUGCUCCUGGCCCGAAUCGCAGCGAAAAUGCGUGUGAAGGCUCUUGGGGGUGGGUUUCUUGUUUAGAUUCUGACGGCAUUUUUGCUGUUUUGAAUCUCAAAAAACAUGGCCUCGGAUCAGGUAGGGAUACCCGCUGAACUUAA